Molecule: small nuclear RNA, 114 nt
Organism: Aotus nancymaae (Ma's night monkey)
Lineage: Eukaryota; Metazoa; Chordata; Mammalia; Primates; Aotidae
Gene: U5
Rfam family: U5 spliceosomal RNA
About the family: U5 RNA is a component of both types of known spliceosome.
Source: Ensembl
AUACUCUGAUUUCUCUUCAGAUCAUAUAAAUCUCUGGCCUUUUACUAAAGAUUUCUUUGGAGAGGAGCAAUUCUGAGUCUUAACCCAAUUUCUGAGGCCCUGUACCUGCAAGGU